RNAcentral lists this long non-coding RNA (715 nucleotides) under Monodelphis domestica (gray short-tailed opossum). Its description in RNAcentral is "lncRNA (ENSMODG00000045694.1)". The record is from RNAcentral. Lineage: Eukaryota; Metazoa; Chordata; Mammalia; Didelphimorphia; Didelphidae.
AGCAGCCUGGAGCUGAGAAGUGAAGCCUGAAGGGUGCAGAUCUGAUCUCUCUUGGAUUCCUUUGGACAUCUUUGAAGCAGCCUCUUUGAAUACCAUCAAGCAAGAGUAAGUAGGAGUUUCCUCUAAUACCCUCUGAUGGACAGAGGAAAAUUGGAGGAAAUCAGUCUCUCUUUUGGACAUCUGAGGACUCAGCUGGAUUCUUGUACCUGACCCAUCAAAGGACUAUCUGAGUUGAAGAUUGGUGGAGACAAUGGUUUUCUGAAGACAAGGAGGAAAAAUUCCCAGUGCCCUGUUGCAUGGGAGAUAUAAUAUAGGGAAACAGAAGGACAUAAAACACUGAAUGCAAUUCAGAGAGAUUCAGGGCUCCUGACAAAGAAGAGAAAAGAAAAGAAAAAGAAAAGAAAAGAAAAGAAAAGAAAAGAAAAGAAAAGAAAAGAAAAGAAAAGAAAAGAAAAUAAAAGAAAAGAAAAAAGAAAAGAAAAGAAAAGAAAAGAAAAGAAAAGAAAAGAAAAAAACAGGAAUGUAGCUAUUUGGUCUAAGACUUGAAGGAAAUUAGGGAUUCCAAGAGGCAGAGGUAAGAAGGGAAAGCAUUCUUGGUGUGGAGGGACAACCAAUAUACUGAGGUAUAAAAUGUGGGACGAACAGCCAGCUGAUCAGUAUGACUGGCUUCUACCAGUGCAUUACAAGAGAAUAAUACAGAAUAAUACUGGAGAGA